GAUCCUGCCGGAGGCCACUGCUAUCGGAGUUCGAUUAAGCCAUGCGAGUCGAGAGGUGCAAGACCUCGGCAUACUGCUCAGUAACACGUGGACAACCUACCCUAUGGAGGGGGAUAACCCCGGGAAACUGGGGAUAAUACCCCAUAGACUAUAGAUGCCGGAAUGCUUUGUAGUUGAAAGGUCCGCCGCCAUAGGAUGGGUCUGCGGCCGAUUAGGUUGUUGUUGGGGUAACGGCCCAACAAGCCUGUAAUCGGUACGGGUUGUGGGAGCAAGAGCCCGGAGAUGGAUUCUGAGACACGAAUCCAGGCCCUACGGGGCGCAGCAGGCGCGAAAACUUUACAAUGCGGGAAACCGUGAUAAGGGAACUCCGAGUGCCCGUAAAAUCGGGCUGUCCACCAGUUUAAAUAACUGGUGAAGAAAGGGCCGGGCAAGACCGGUGCCAGCCGCCGCGGUAAUACCGGCGGCUCGAGUGGUGGCCACUAUUACUGGGCUUAAAGCGUUCGUAGCUGGUCUGUUAAGUCUCUGGGGAAAUCUACUGGCUUAACCAAUAGGCGUCUCAGGGAUACUGGCAGACUAGGGACCGGGAGAGGUGAGAGGUACUCCAGGGGUAGGAGUGAAAUCCUGUAAUCCUUGGGGGACCACCUGUGGCGAAGGCGUCUCACCAGAACGGCUCCGACAGUGAGGGACGAAAGCUGGGGGAGCAAACCGGAUUAGAUACCCGGGUAGUCCCAGCCGUAAACGAUGCGCGUUAGGUGUAUCGGUGACCACGAGUCACCGAGGUGCCGAAGAGAAAUCGUGAAACGUGCCGCCUGGGAAGUACGGUCGCAAGGCUGAAACUUAAAGGAAUUGGCGGGGGAGCACCACAACAGGUGGAGCCUGCGGUUUAAUUGGAGUCAACGCCGGG
RNAcentral lists this ribosomal RNA (904 nucleotides) under uncultured archaeon. Its description in RNAcentral is "bacterial SSU rRNA". It matches the Rfam family "Archaeal small subunit ribosomal RNA", at positions 10 to 922 of the family's 1478-position model. The record is from RNAcentral.